AUCCGCAGGAUCGGAUUCGGAUGCACGUGGAUAUUUAUCAUAUCCGAUAUAAGUUUUCAAAAGUUGAACGAUAAAUAUGUAUGUACUAUCAUUACUGUAUAAAAUGGGGCUAAUUUUGGAACAGGUGCCACAUGAGCAGAAAUAUUUUCCACCAAUCAAUCUGUCAGGUUAUUGCGGACUAGGUUUGGAAUAAAAAAAUUAAGUUACCUUCCCAGCCCAUUUAAACCAUUUCGCAGCCCAAUCCAGAGCCGGUCUUGAUACGGGUCGUGUUAUAUCGUCGUCUCGAUCCCGUUUCUCUUUAAAAAAAAUCACUCAUCCUCCCUAACCCUAAUCGCCGUAUCGAUUCUCUUCCUUUCCCCCAACUCCUCCCGCAUAACGCCUCCGAUGAGAGUGCUGGUACUUCAAUGUUCUCCCAUAAAUCCUCCAUUCAAGAUCCCCACGGACCCUCCACAUCCCCCCUCCGGUUCGAUGAUAUCUAGAUCCCUAUUUAUACCCUUAUCACUCUUCCAUCAGAUCGUAAAAUCCAUACCCUUAUCAUGGGAAAAACAUAUUUGCCUUUGUUUGAAUCAGCUCUAGGAUGUCGUCAACGUUUAUACGAGUGGGCUUGACAUCGAUCAAAGCAGUACAAUCAUGUUUGGCAGACAAUGAAGGUUUUGGAUGGAGUCCACACGCGGUCUCGGAUCCAUUUCGUCUCGGAUCCAUUUGGUGAUGCUUUCCAAUGGCUGGAGAUGUAGGAGAAACUAACGACAGAUUCUUCAAGGACUUAGUCAGGUGAAGCAGCGGUGGAUAAGGAGGAUAAGAUAGUUGUGCCUCCAAGGAAGGAGCCUGAGGUAGAGAAAAAAAAAACCGGAACAUGAACAUGAGUCUGAGUUUGGAAAAGAAAAAGAGAGUAAGGAGAGGAAGGAGAAAGCGUUAAAGGAGAUAGAGAUGGGGAAUGCGGCAUGCAAGGCUACAGUUUUAUCUGAUUUGCUUGGUAAUUGGUUAAGUCUAAAUGUGAUCAUGUUUGAUUGCUGUGAAGAAAGCUUAGUGUUCUCUCUUUGAUUUAUCCCUCCAUCUGUGCCUUUUUGUUCUUGCAAAGGUUUUUCUCACACAUUUUUAAUUAUCAAAUUUGAUUUUUUUUA
Long non-coding RNA from Brassica napus (rape), 1121 nucleotides. RefSeq lists it as uncharacterized. The record is from RefSeq and is a predicted model, not a curated record. Lineage: Eukaryota; Viridiplantae; Streptophyta; Magnoliopsida; Brassicales; Brassicaceae. The transcript has 2 exons.